UGAUAUCACAUAAUAGGUAUCCAGCUCUGUCUAUGGUAUUUUAAUUACCUGAUCCAAAUUUCAGAGGGAAGGAGAUGGAGCGGGAGACCUCUAAUUUUGCAACUGAAGUGUUCUGCCUGCAGUCAACUGUGUUCCCAAUUGGUGGGUGCCAUCAGUGGCAGAUGCAAGUGAAAGGAUCCUUGGAAUGAUGCUGGGCAUUGUGCUGUUGAUGACACCUGGCUUUUGAGGAGUUGGAAGAUGUAGUGGGAGCUGAGCGGCAACUAGUCUAGGGGCUGAGUUUGCUGAUGUUUCUGUGCCACUGAAGACCAAGUGAGAUUUCACUAUGGAGCAAUUUCAGAUGAGGAUGUGAUCAAUUUCUGUCAUAGCACAUCGCUGGUUUGAAAUCCAGCUCCAGCUAUGGUUAUUGAGGUGCCUAAAGCAGGAGCCCAUGACAAUGUCUGGCACACAGUGUCAGAAGCUAAGUGGUUGUGGUGUUUGGGGAAUUUGAACCAAAGGGGACAUAUUGUAAUAGUAAGCUUUUAUGUUUUAUAUUGUGUAUGAUUUAGAAUGAGGGAUGAAGAAUAAUGAGAUAAUUUAGCAUGUAUUAAAUGUAUUGGUGUAUGGUUUGAUCAUCUCCUGUCAGCCACCCUUUUUGAAUAGCAAAAAGGAAUGGCCUAAUGGGCCAUUUGGUAAAGAUGCAUCAGCCAGAAUCUGUAUCUGGGCUAAUUUCAAGAAAAUAACAGAUGUUUUAAGGUCACUACUUUGCUAUAGGUUUAGCAUUUUAAAAUAAGUAAAAGAAUGCCAUGAUUGUUUUCUUGUGCAUUGCAACUUGAUGUUCCUGUUUAAAAUGUUCUGUGUAAAUUAAUUCUGUUUUGUGUGUGAAUGAGGAAUGUGUGUGUAAAGAGAUAAGUGUGAAGGUCAUCGCUGAGCCAGAUGUAUGAGGGAGGAACCAGAGACAGAGGCAAGGGCGCCAGGAGGCUGCAACACGCGCAUGUUGAAAUGUCAGAGGAGGGCAGAUUGAUUACUUUAAAGAUGAGACAGGCACCUAUCAAUAGGGACAUGAUAGCUGUGAUAAAGAAUGAGAAGGACAAUUUAAGAAAACAAGCACUUGUCAAACAACAAUUGAUUACAGCAUGAUGGAGCAAAACUCAUUGGUCCCAAUGAAGGAAAAUCACUAUCUAAAUAGGGUGCCUUGCCAUGAAAUUUUGAGUUCAUCCUGCCAAGACUUCCCCGGAUCAUUGUAUCAUGACCGAAGGAACCCGGCUCCUCCCUACCCAUGAUCAACCUAGCUGGCCACUAGAUUGAUCUGGACUCUGGA
Molecule: non-coding RNA, 1297 nt
Organism: Chrysemys picta bellii (western painted turtle)
Lineage: Eukaryota; Metazoa; Chordata; Testudines; Emydidae
Source: RefSeq, a predicted model, not a curated record